RNAcentral lists this transfer RNA (76 nucleotides) under Clostridiaceae bacterium. RNAcentral describes it as "tRNA-Ala". It matches the Rfam family "tRNA". Rfam says of the family: Transfer RNA (tRNA) molecules are approximately 80 nucleotides in length. Lineage: Bacteria; Bacillati; Bacillota; Clostridia; Eubacteriales; Clostridiaceae. The record is from RNAcentral.
GGGGGUAUAGCUCAGUUGGGAGAGCGCUUGAAUGGCAUUCAAGAGGUCAGGGGUUCGAUUCCCCUUACCUCCACCA